RNAcentral lists this ribosomal RNA (613 nucleotides) under uncultured bacterium. RNAcentral's name for it is "bacterial SSU rRNA". It matches the Rfam family "Bacterial small subunit ribosomal RNA", at positions 338 to 945 of the family's 1533-position model. The record is from RNAcentral.
CCUACGGGAGGCAGCAGUAGGGAAUCUUCCGCAAUGGACGAAAGUCUGACGGAGCAACGCCGCGUGAACGAUGAAGGCCUUCGGGUCGUAAAGUUCUGUUGUUAGGGAAGAACAAGUGUUAGUUGAAUAAGCUGGCGCCUUGACGGUACCUAACCAGAAAGCCACGGCUAACUACGUGCCAGCAGCCGCGGUAAUACGUAGGUGGCAAGCGUUGUCCGGAAUUAUUGGGCGUAAAGCGCGCGCAGGCGGUUUCUUAAGUCUGAUGUGAAAGCCCCCGGCUCAACCGGGGAGGGUCAUUGGAAACUGGGAAACUUGAGUGCAGAAGAGGAAAGUGGAAUUCCAAGUGUAGCGGUGAAAUGCGUAGAGAUUUGGAGGAACACCAGUGGCGAAGGCGACUUUCUGGUCUGUAACUGACGCUGAGGCGCGAAAGCGUGGGGAGCAAACAGGAUUAGAUACCCUGGUAGUCCACGCUGUAAACGAUGAGUGCUAAGUGUUAGAGGGUUUCCGCCCUUUAGUGCUGAAGUUAACGCAUUAAGCACUCCGCCUGGGGANCGGUCGCAAGCUGAAACUUAANGAAUUGACGNNGAGAGNGCGAGACGACGACGAGGGAGAG